This 359-nucleotide ribosomal RNA is filed under the name Eobania vermiculata. RNAcentral describes it as "Massylaea vermiculata partial 16S ribosomal RNA". It matches the Rfam family "Archaeal large subunit ribosomal RNA", at positions 2024 to 2688 of the family's 2987-position model. The record is from RNAcentral. Lineage: Eukaryota; Metazoa; Mollusca; Gastropoda; Stylommatophora; Helicidae.
UGUGCAAAGGUAGCAUAAUCAAUUGGCCUCUAAUUAAGGUCUGGAAUGAACGAACUUAUGGGUAGCAACUGUCUUAAAAUAGUUAAUUAAAUUGAUUAAUAAGUGCAAAUACUUAUUCAGUUACAUUAGACGAGAAGACCCUAGAAACUUAUAAUUAUUUUGUUGGGGCGACAGAAUUACAUAAAACUAAUUUUAUUUUACAAGACGUAAAGCAGAAAGAAAAAGUUACUCUAGGGAUAACAGCAUAAUUUUUUAUAGCUUGUGACCUCGAUGUUGGACUAGGUAGAUAGUUUUUUAGAAGAAAACUUUCUUGGCUCUGUUCGAGCAAUUUUAACCUACAUGAUCUGAGUUCAAAUCGA